CUGCUCACUUCGGCAGCACAUAUACUAAAAUUGGAACGAUACAGAGAAGAUUUGCAUGGCCCCUGUGCAAGGAUGACACGCAAAUUCAUGAAGUGUUCCAUAUUAAA
This is a small nuclear RNA of Otolemur garnettii (small-eared galago), 107 nucleotides long. NCBI's taxonomy places the organism in Eukaryota, Metazoa, Chordata, Mammalia, Primates, Galagidae. The record is from Ensembl.